This is a non-coding RNA of Lactuca sativa (garden lettuce), 1220 nucleotides long. NCBI's taxonomy places the organism in Eukaryota, Viridiplantae, Streptophyta, Magnoliopsida, Asterales, Asteraceae. The record is from RefSeq and is a predicted model, not a curated record.
AAUUCCCUCCAUGGUCCGCUCUUUUUUUUGGUGAAAUCAAAUAGUCCACUCUUUUUUCGUGAAAUCAAAUGGCACAAAGGAAUAGAGCACUCAUAGUUUCAUCCUUACAAACUUACUGCCGCUUCUCCAAGCCACCUCUCCACCUCUCUUUCUCUCCUCACCACGACGAUCAAUGGAGCAACACUAUUUAUCUUCCUCACGGACCUCACCAACAACACCACAACACUGUCUUGAUCUUCUAUGGAUCAAACAUACACCUCCAAUAAUCCCCCCAAUAUCGAGGCUUUUUCAUCUAUCACAUCAUAUAUUCAAAUAUGAUGUAUGCUAUAUUUCGGAGGUCAAUCGCAUAUGUAUGUCACAUAGGAUCGGAUGGUAUGGUAUAUAAAAUCAUAUUUAUCGCACAUUGGAGUAGAUUUAGGGUUUUCGCCGAUUCUCUCAUGAUGAACACGGAUCCUAAUCAGUCUCAGCGUUGGAUAUUUGGGAAGUUCUUGAAGAACCCUUCAAGUUUCCAUCAAGUACUAGAUCAACAAUAUUCAAAGGAUUAGUUAAUAAUUUGAUUGAUUUUUGAUUUCUGUGAAAAGUUCAAGUAUUCAAUCCUAUUUUUAUGUUUUGAAAUAAGUUUGGGUGAAGAAAUUUAUGAAGGGAUUUAAAAUAUAGAUGAAUUUUUUGAUGCACAUAACUUGUUUGAUGAAAUGUCUAAGAUAAAAAGUUCAAGUUAAAGUCCACAUUUUAAUUAAGAAGAAGGUGAAGAUGAAUCAUAUUUUGAGUGAUGUUUUUUUUUGUCAUUCAGGUGCAGUACGUGUUGUCGAUGCAGAUGAGAGGCAGAAGUUCUCUGAGAAGGUCAUUGUGCUGCUUCUUAUUGUUGACGCCAUUGAGCAGGGGGCUGAUAUCAUGGUUAGGGCUACCAAAAAGGUCGAUGGUGGAUGAGCUAGAAGCAAUGCUGGACCUGGUGGAUCCGCAGCCAAGAGGUGAUGGUUUGAUACAUUUGGUUGCUUUUUUUUAAUGCUUAUGUGGCCCAAGAAAAAGGUUUCAAAGGAAGGGAACAAGAAAUGGAGCAAGAAAUGGUAGUCCAAUGAGAUGGAAAAUUACUAAAGAUUUUAGAUGUAAAGACGGGAUCACAAAAACAUUUGAAAAUCCUUGUGUUUUAAAUAUUGAUAAUAUUGUUGUUAGAAAAGUUUGAAUUAAAUUAAUGAUAUUAUGUUUUUUAUUUAUUAUCUUAA